CAAACUGCUGGUUACGCAUGUCAGUCAGCCUGUUGCAGUGGUCACAAGUGAGAAUGUAACCAGAAGCUGGGCGUGCUCGGCCAUUUUGCAUAUGGCACAGGAUAAAGCUUCACCUCUGCCAUUGCUUCUCUUAUAAUAAUGGCCUCCGAGUAUACAUGCCGAGUUAUGCUUCUGGGGACACCUAUUAGUUAACCUUAUCAGGUAAUACCAUUAGCCUUAUGGGUGCUAUAAUGUUGCAGUGCCUGCAGGAUGGCCAGCAUUACAACACAUUAAAAUUAUUGUACAAGUCAUGCAAUGGUAUCGGGAUUGGCCCACCAAGUGACAACCUUUAAUUACACUAUACCUGGGAUCAGCUCACUCAGUCAGGGAGACAUCCAUGCAUAAGGGGAGGGGUAUGGCAAAUAGAGGGCGUUCGAUUAAUCUUUCUCACAUAGAUAGCUGAUACAUAUAAUCUUUCUUAAAUUGGAUGCUUUGUUGCUCAAAGUGAAGUUACUUAUGGGCAUAAUGUCAGCAUUUCGAUCCUAUUUAUGCUUAACGAAAGUUGCUUUGUUCAGUGUCACUUUUUAUAUUGUUUCGCUUGUGAUUCUAAGCUCACUUGUUUUAUAGCUGCUGUAGGUAUGGCUGGACCUGGAGAAGAAGUGUAAGCAGACCAUGCUAUGUUGCUGAUCUGCGCUGAUCUCCACAUCCAAGUUGGUCCCGCGACAGUUGGGCGCCACUGUGCCUUGCUUUAUUGACAAGGUGAUAUAAUAUGGUGCCCUGCUCGCUCUCACCCAAGCAACCCACUCCAGCGGUCUUCUCUCGGCAGACUGGAUGCAUCGAAAUACCGUUAGAAGGUCCAAUAAACAGUGCUUGGGACAUUUA
This 861-nucleotide long non-coding RNA is filed under the name Dermacentor andersoni. Its description in RNAcentral is "uncharacterized LOC126535284". Lineage: Eukaryota; Metazoa; Arthropoda; Arachnida; Ixodida; Ixodidae. The record is from RNAcentral.